UGAAAUAUAAAAAAGAAGAUGUGGUAUGAUUGCCAAUGAGACAACUAUCCACAAAAGACCAAAAUGACACAGACAUUAACAACUAUAGGUCACCGUACGGCCUUCAACAAUGAGCAAAGCCCAUACCGCAUAGUCAGCUAUAAAAGGCCCCGAUAAGACAAUGUAAAACAAUUCAAACGAGAAAACUAACGGCUUUAUUUAUGUAAAAAAAAUUAACGAAAAACAAAUAUGUAACACAUAAACAAACGACAACCACUGAAUUACAGGCUCCUGACUUGGGACAGGCACAUACAUAAAUAAUGUGGCGGGGUUUAA
This 315-nucleotide long non-coding RNA is filed under the name Mytilus galloprovincialis (Mediterranean mussel). The record is from RNAcentral. Lineage: Eukaryota; Metazoa; Mollusca; Bivalvia; Mytilida; Mytilidae.